This 1399-nucleotide long non-coding RNA is filed under the name Homo sapiens (human). RNAcentral describes it as "non-protein coding lnc-ZCCHC13-5:1". Lineage: Eukaryota; Metazoa; Chordata; Mammalia; Primates; Hominidae. The record is from RNAcentral.
AGACUUGGUCUCAAAAAAAAAAAAAAAAAAAUUGAUUAGGACAAAGAAAAUAAUUUAAAAAAUAGAGUAAAAAUAAAUUUAAAAAACAGAGAAACAGAAAAUUAAGGAAAGCAAAUGUGGUUCUCGAAAUAAUUUUAAAAAUGAACAAAUCUGUAGCUAGACCAAAGAUGAAAAACAGAGAAAACACAUAUAAAAUCAGAAUAAAAAAGACAUUAUCACCAAUGUUAUAGGAAAAUAAAAGAAUUAGAAAGGAAUACCAUCAAAAGCAGUAUGCCAAUUAGAUACCUUAUACAAAAUGUUUGUUUUUAGGAAGACACAAACAACCAAAUCUGACACAAGAAAAAAAACCUGAAUACUUACAAAAACAGAAUUGAAGGCCGAGCACGGUGCCUCGAGCCUGUAAUCCCAGCACUUUGGGAGGCUGAGGCGGGCAGAUUACCUGAGGUCAGGAGGUCGAGACCAGCCUGACCAACAUGGGGAAACCCCUGUCUCUGCUAAAAAAUACAAAAUUAGCCGGGAGUGAUGGCGCAUGCCUGUAAUCCCAGCUACUCGGGAGGCAGAAGCAGGAGAAUAGCUUGGACCCGGGAAGCGGAGGUUGCAGUGAGCCGAGAUCGCGCCAUUGCACUCCAGCUUGGGUAACAAGAGUGAAACUCCGUCUCAAAAAAAAAAAAACAGAUUGAAUGGUUAAUCUACAAAAUUCCCAUAAAGAAACAUUCAUGAACAGAUGACUUCACUGAUGAUUCUGCAAACGUUUAAAUAAUAAACAUCAGUUAUUUACAUAACUUUUCAAAAAAUAUUACAGGAGGAAACACUUCCCCAAUUAAUUCAAUACAUGAUAUUUACAUAUGCAUGGUAUUUAUAGAACAAAGAUAAAACCUCAUGAUUGUGUCAACAGACAUAAAAAAGCCAUUUGACAAAAUUCAUUUAUAAUUUUAAAAUCCUCAACAAACUAGGAACAAAGGGAUCUAUCUACAUUUGACAAAGGGUAUCUACAAAUACUGUAUAGCUAGCUCUGUGAACCUAGGCAAGAAAAAGAAAAAAAAAACCAUACAGCUAACAUCAUUUAAUAGUCAAAAUCUAAUUGUAUUACCCCUAGUCAGAAACAAGUCAAGGAUGACUGCUCUUGCUACUUCUGUGCCGGUUUUCGCCAUGGUGAUUAGGCAAGAAAAAGAAAUAAAAAAAAUCAAUGCAAUUGGAAAGAGAGUACAACUAUCUAUAUUUAUAGGUGACAUAAACAUAAAAACCCAGAGGAAUCCACAAAAAAAUGCUAAUAGUGAAACUAUUAGAAAAGCUUUUCCAAUAAGUUCAGAAACAUUGGAGGAUACAAGAUCAACAGAAAACUAAUUGUAUUUUAAUACACUAGCAAUGAACAAUCCAAAAUUAAAGUUAGGAAAAUAAU